Paramuricea clavata is the source of this 99-nucleotide non-coding RNA. Lineage: Eukaryota; Metazoa; Cnidaria; Anthozoa; Malacalcyonacea; Plexauridae. The record is from the annotation of a GenBank genome assembly.
AUAUUUCGGAACUGAGUGUAGUUCCUUCAAUAUCAAUGUAAUCCAGUAGACUACUGGAUUACAUUGAUAUCGAAGGAACUAGACUCAGUUCCGAAAUAU